This 337-nucleotide unclassified non-coding RNA is filed under the name soil metagenome. Its description in RNAcentral is "partial contains 5.8S ribosomal RNA, internal transcribed spacer 2, and large subunit ribosomal RNA". The stretch from base 1 to 120 matches the Rfam family "5.8S ribosomal RNA", at positions 35 to 154 of the family's 154-position model. The record is from RNAcentral.
GAUGAAGAACGUAGCGAAAUGCGAUAAGUAAUGUGAAUUGCAGAAUUCAGUGAAUCAUCGAAUCUUUGAACGCACAUUGCGCCCGCCAGAAUGCUGGCGGGCAUGCCUGUUCGAGCGUCAUUUCAACCCUCAAGCUCUGCUUGGUGUUGGGGCCCUACGGUUGACGUAGGCCCUUAAAGGUAGUGGCGGACCCUCUCGGAGCCUCCUUUGCGUAGUAACUAACGUCUCGCAUUGGGAUUCGGAGGGACUCUUGCCGUAAAACCCCCAAAUUUUCUAAUGGUUGACCUCGGAUCAGGUAGGAAUACCCGCUGAACUUAAGCAUAUCAUAAGCGGAGGA